This 512-nucleotide ribosomal RNA is filed under the name uncultured bacterium. Its description in RNAcentral is "partial 16S ribosomal RNA". It matches the Rfam family "Bacterial small subunit ribosomal RNA", at positions 28 to 507 of the family's 1533-position model. The record is from RNAcentral.
GAUGAACGCUGGCGGCGUGCCUAAUACAUGCAAGUCGAACGAAACUUCUUUAUCACCGAGUGCUUGCACUCACCGAUAAAGAGUUGAGUGGCGAACGGGUGAGUAACACGUGGGCAGCCGGCCCAAAAGAGGGGGAUAACACUGGGAAACAGGUGCUAAUACCGCAUAACCAUAGUUACCGCAUGGUAACUAUGUAAAAGGUGGCUAUACUACCGCUUUUGGAUGGGCCCGCGGCGCAUUAGCUAGUUGGUAGGGUAAAGGCUUACCAAGGCAAUGAUGCGUACCCGAAUUGAGAGGUUGAUCGGCCACAUUAGCACUGAGACACGGCCCAAACUCCUACGGGAGGCAGCAGUAGGGUAUCUUCCGCAGUAGGCGGACGCCUGAUGGAGCAACCCCGCGUGGGUGAGGAAGGGCUUCGGAUCGUAAAACCCUGUUGUUAGAGAAGAAAGUGCGUGAGAGUAACUGUUCACGUUUCGGCGGUAUCUAACCAGAAAGCCACGGCUAACUACGUG